CAGGGAGACAACAAAAUGUUUAAUAUUAUUAUUUUGUCACCUUAGGUCGAUCGGUAUCUCACGUUUUUAAUUUAUUAAGAAUUUCAUUUCCUAAGUUUUUCUAGGUCACACCCAUUUUUUUUCCUGGGCCAUUAGCUCAGGUGGUUAGAGCGCACCCCUGAUAAGGGUGAGGUCCCUGGUUCAAGUCCAGGAUGGCCCAUAUCUCUAUGUUGGGGGUAUAGCUCAGUUGGUAGAGCGCCUGCUUUGCAAGCAGGAUGUCAGCGGUUCGAGUCCGCUUACCUCCACUGAUUACCACCUCUUCCAUAAUCUGUUGAAAGGAAAAAAUUUUGAGUUGUGAUUAUAUUUCUGAACGAAUCUAGCUUCCUAAUGUAACCAUUAAGAUGCUGGACUCAUUGAAUUAAUUUCAUUGUUUUCAGAGAACCUUGACAACUGCAUAGAUUAUUUUUAAAGACAAUAAGCAUCUUUAAUGAUGCAGAUUUAUUAUUUGUGCGAAUGCAUUAAUAACAAUUCUAUUAAGCUGAUGCUUCAAUUUUGAAGUUAUU
This 542-nucleotide transfer RNA is filed under the name uncultured Prochlorococcus sp. RNAcentral describes it as "partial 16S-23S ribosomal RNA intergenic spacer". The stretch from base 212 to 284 matches the Rfam family "tRNA". Lineage: Bacteria; Bacillati; Cyanobacteriota; Cyanophyceae; Synechococcales; Prochlorococcaceae. The record is from RNAcentral.